This 74-nucleotide transfer RNA is filed under the name Gemmatimonadota bacterium. RNAcentral's name for it is "Gemmatimonadetes bacterium (rhizosphere metagenome) tRNA-Ile". It matches the Rfam family "tRNA". Rfam says of the family: Transfer RNA (tRNA) molecules are approximately 80 nucleotides in length. Their secondary structure includes four short double-helical elements and three loops (D, anti-codon, and T loops). Further hydrogen bonds mediate the characteristic L-shaped molecular structure. tRNAs have two regions of fundamental functional importance: the anti-codon, which is responsible for specific mRNA codon recognition, and the 3' end, to which the tRNAs corresponding amino acid is attached (by aminoacyl-tRNA synthetases). tRNAs cope with the degeneracy of the genetic code in two manners: having more than one tRNA (with a specific anti-codon) for a particular amino acid; and 'wobble' base-pairing, i.e. permitting non-standard base-pairing at the 3rd anti-codon position. Lineage: Bacteria; Pseudomonadati; Gemmatimonadota. The record is from RNAcentral.
GGGCCCGUAGCUCAGUUGGUCAGAGCACUGGACUCAUAAUCCAAGGGUCGCAGGUUCAAGUCCUGCCGGGCCCA